AUCCACCAGGAAAAUGAAUACCUGUUGAAAGAAGGAAAUGCCUUUUUUUCUCAUUUUUCUCCUUCAACCACUUUUCUCUCUCUUGAGCUCAACUUCCCAUACUCUUUCGGUCAUCUGUUCUGUUUCCUGCGGAAGUUAAAGGUGCUGGGAUCCAAUGGAGAAGGCUGAAUUUGCUGCUUCAAACCUUUUGUCACAUCCUCCUGGUAGAAGGGCAAGAAGCUACCUGUUAGCAAAAAUAAGGGUGAAGUUUGCCUCGUGCGUUCCCCUGUGCAUCCACCACUGCUUCAUUGAUGUCCUGGAAACUAAGCCUAUAGUUGAGUAUGCCAUCUGGUAGGAGCUACAGCAGAAGCAGUUGCUCUCGCAGAUUUCCAUCAGGCCUAGGUGUUACCCUUUCUGUGGAGGCAGCUCACUGCACCAGUUUUUUUCUGUGACAAAUUCUGGUUGUCUCAAAGGAAAGAGCAACUGAUUGCAUGUAAUGGAAUGAAUGAAAAAUAAAACACUUUUGCUUGAAUGAAUUGCG
Molecule: long non-coding RNA, 520 nt
Filed under: Phasianus colchicus (ring-necked pheasant)
Lineage: Eukaryota; Metazoa; Chordata; Aves; Galliformes; Phasianidae
Description: lncRNA (ENSPCLG00000008146.1)
Source: RNAcentral